Molecule: small RNA, 30 nt
Filed under: Bombyx mori (domestic silkworm)
Lineage: Eukaryota; Metazoa; Arthropoda; Insecta; Lepidoptera; Bombycidae
Description: ovarian small RNA-14318
Source: RNAcentral
CGCACGUGUCGCGCCCUUUGUAGGGCCGCC